Molecule: ribosomal RNA, 600 nt
Filed under: Triticum aestivum (bread wheat)
Lineage: Eukaryota; Viridiplantae; Streptophyta; Magnoliopsida; Poales; Poaceae
Description: partial small subunit ribosomal RNA
Source: RNAcentral
AUGAUCAAUGAUAGAUCCAGAAUUCAAUCCCCUGACAUAUGGCAGUUGUUUCGGGGUGGCACCAAAUACUCCAAUAAAAGGAUUUAUCUGGAUUACAUUGGAAAUCCACCUGAUGCCCCUAAACCAUUUCAAUGGACAUGGAAGUCAAAUUCUCUUCCUAAACAAAAGUUUUUCUUUUGGCUGCUACUCCAAGAUAGACUUAACACCAGAGACCUCCUUGUGAGGAAGAACUUUCAUAUUGAGAGCAGCAGAUGUGUUCUAUGUGAUGAUGAUCCCAAUGAGCAGUUCAUCCACUUAUUUUUUAGUUGUGAUUUCAGCCACAAUUCUUGGUUAGCCAUUGGAUUUCAAUGGAACAUUGAUCUUGAUCUGGUAGAGAUGCUUAUGGAGGGUAAGAAGCAUAAUAACAUAUGUUGCUUUAAUGAAUGCCUAAUUGCAAGGUGUUGGAGCAUUUGGAAGCAUAGAAAUGGUAUCAUAUUUGAUCAUCAGACCAGGAACAUCAAUCACUGUAUUGCUAGUUUCAAGGAGCAUUGCCAAAUGAUCAUCAAAAAAGCUAGGCCUAGUUUGAAAGAAGGGAUGGAGUCUUGGUUAGACUACUUGUAA